UUGCUUCAGCAGCACGUGUAUUAAAAUUGGAAUGAUACAGAGAUUAGCAUGGCCCUGCGCAAGGGAGACAUGCGAAUCUGUGAAGUGUUCCCUAUUUUA
Small nuclear RNA from Camelus dromedarius (Arabian camel), 99 nucleotides. Lineage: Eukaryota; Metazoa; Chordata; Mammalia; Artiodactyla; Camelidae. The record is from Ensembl.